AGCAGUAGCCGCGGGAAUACGUAUGUCACAAGCGUUAUCCGGAUUUAUUGGGCGUAAAGCGCGUCUAGGUGGUUAUGUAAGUCUGAUGUGAAAAUGCAGGGCUCAACUCUGUAUUGCGUUGGAAACUGUGUAACUAGAGUACUGGAGAGGUAAGCGGAACUACAAGUGUAGAGGUGAAAUUCGUAGAUAUUUGUAGGAAUGCCGAUGGGGAAGCCAGCUUACUGGACAGAUACUGACGCUAAAGCGCGAAAGCGUGGGUAGCAAACAGGAUUAGAUACCCGCGUAGUCCCUGUCUCUUAUACA
Molecule: ribosomal RNA, 303 nt
Filed under: uncultured bacterium
Lineage: Bacteria
Description: partial 16S ribosomal RNA
Rfam family: Bacterial small subunit ribosomal RNA
Source: RNAcentral